GGGGUCUUGGCUCAGUGGUAGAGCACUCGCCUCAUAUGUGUGAGGCACUGGGUUCAAUUCUCAGCACCA
RNAcentral lists this transfer RNA (69 nucleotides) under Ictidomys tridecemlineatus (thirteen-lined ground squirrel). Its description in RNAcentral is "Spermophilus tridecemlineatus (thirteen-lined ground squirrel) tRNA". It matches the Rfam family "tRNA". From Rfam's summary of the family: Transfer RNA (tRNA) molecules are approximately 80 nucleotides in length. Lineage: Eukaryota; Metazoa; Chordata; Mammalia; Rodentia; Sciuridae. The record is from Rfam by way of RNAcentral. RNAcentral also lists the same sequence under 1 other name.